Non-coding RNA from Salvia hispanica, 1403 nucleotides. The record is from RefSeq and is a predicted model, not a curated record. NCBI's taxonomy places the organism in Eukaryota, Viridiplantae, Streptophyta, Magnoliopsida, Lamiales, Lamiaceae.
UCCCAUCUUUCAUCUUUCGCAUUCAUUGCUCUCAAACAAACUCAAAAGUCAAAACACAGUAAUUGUUCUGUUCUCCGGCGAAAGUUCGCCCCCCUCAACCGCGGUUUAUCCUCCUUCCACCCUUAACUUCUAAUUCAAUAUCUUUCUCAUUCACGCAACUCUUCCCCAAAUCUGCCCUCAUUUUUCCUUCAUUCAUCUUCCUCAAAACCGAUCAAUUCCUCCUGAAAUUCGGCGAAUCCACAACUGGAAUCCACCAUCUCUCGCUUGAAAUCUCUCUCCAAUUCUACAGCGGCGAGUCUUCCCCGCUUUCAUCACAUUCGGGCGAACACCACCUCUCGCGAAAUUGCAGUGUCUUCCUCCACCGCCUGAAUCUAGGUUUAUUCCUUUUUUCUUCCUAACACGACCAGAAAUUGGAGCACAGAUUGAUGAUGAGUUCGUUCUCCAAAAUCGAAAAGGUUCAGGAAGUUUAAGAUAAGCUUCAGACGAGCUUCUUACGCAAGAGCAUACUGUUAUGCAAGAUCUUACUCACGCUUUCACUAACGUCUAUAUAUUUUGCCGGUUGACCUCUUUCCAGAAAACAAGUGUUUUGGUUUGAGAGUAAGUAUGACUUUGUUCACUUCUCUACGAGCUUCUUUGUUCAUGUUUUUUUUGCACUUUAGCAAUCUUAAUAGCCUUUUUUAAUGAGGAGAAUCUUUGAAGCCCUCUCCAGGGACAACUUCACCUGAUGGUCUUGACAUUAACCUUGAUAGUUGUCUCACAUUCGGUCAGAUGGUCGGCUUUCAGCCAUGCUCUUCUUAAUUCUAUACUUUUGAUCGGCUCCAGUCCUUGGAUUUUUAGUCUUCUACAUUUUCUUUACUGACAAUGUCUGAUUUUCUCACCGGCACCAAGGAGGAGCACAAGGAAUUCUGGGAUCAGAUCGCUAAUCAGAGUUUUGACUUAAAACUUACUCAUAUUACCAUGGAUUUAUCUUUAAUCCUCAUUUCCAAUCACAUAUAUACAUUUUAAAUAAAUUCUUGAAUGCAGGAUUGAUAAAGAUGCAGAUGGAAAAAAUAUACUGAAGAUGAAGUCGCUACUCAGUGAGGAGAAGAAAGGUCAAGAUUCGGCUCCAAUGUGGUAUAUUACUGCUAAUGAAUGCCACUUCUUAUGUUUCAGGGGAAUUCUUAUCAUCAUACAUGGGUUAAUUGAGCACAGAUUUAUGCACAAGCUUUGCUCAUUGAUAAUUGGAAGUAUUGAAGAAAGAAGGUAGAGAUUUUAUGAAUCAAAGAAGCAGCUUAAUGUCCUUCCAAUCUCGAUUAACUGUUUCUGAAGUUGUAAUUUACAUAUUGCGGGGACGUGGUGUGUUUCAAUUAAUCAAAUAUUGUAUUAGUGAAUGUUUCUUAAUUGUUGAUCAAUACAUUUAUAAA